GAGCCUCAGCCCCUCCCACGGGCCGCCCACGGAUUCCAGGAUCCGGAAACUCUUCCUGCUGCUGCGUCACCCCAGGAAGGCAGCGCCCGCCUCUGGGCAGUUCUGAUGGAAACUGGCUUCGCCGCCCAGAGGAAAACCCACAACUAAGGGGCCAAGAAAAAGCCUCCAUGGUCCCGCCCUUUCAGUGAGGAUCCUAAUUUAUACCCCGAGUGUGGCCCCCAUCAAAGUCUGCAGUGACAGCCGAGCGCGGUGGCUCACGUCUGUAAUCCCGGCACUUUGGGAGACCAUGGCGGGCGGAUCACUUGAGGUCAGGAGUUCGAGACCAGCUUGGCCAACAUGGUGAAGCCCCUUCUCUACUAGAAAUACAAAAAUUAGCCGGGUGUGGUCGUAGGCGCCUGUAGUCCCAGCUACUCGGAGGCUGAGGCAGAAAAAUGGCUUGAACGCGGGAGGCGGAGCUUGCAGGGAGCCGAGAUCGCGCCACUGCACUCCAGCCUGGGCGACAGAGACUCCAUCUCACACACACACAAAAAAUGUAGAGUGACGUUCACUGAAAUGAUACUAGACCAGCGGGAGGGACCCAGAGCGCUGCGGUUCACAGAAUGCGGUGACAGCGCCGCCUCGCGUCCUUUACUUCAACUGCCCCAGGCAGACGUGGUCACGUGUGUUGGCCUGGAGGCUGGAAUACACCGGGGUCAAAUGCAGAGUGGAGAAAGGAGGGAAGGAUGGGAGGACGUGUUGAAGAAAGACAGUAAGAGCUAGCGCUAUGGUUCAUAUCUGUAAAACUAGAGUUUUCGGAGGCGAGGCAGGAGGAUCGUGUGAGACCAGGAGUUUGAGGUCGCAGUGAGCCGUGAUCACACCACUGCACUCCAGCCUGGACGACAGAGUGAGACCCUGCUUUUAUAUACUUUUCAUAUUUUCUGUAAUUAAGCAAGUUUUGUGUCCGGAAUUGGUGGGUUCUUGAUCUCACUGACUUCAAGAAUGAAACUGUGGACCCUCGCGGUGAGUGUUACAGCUCUUAAGGUGGCGCGUCUGGAGUUUGUUCCUUCUGAUGUUCGGACGUGUCCGGAGUUUUUUCCUUCUGGUGGGUUCGUGGUCUCGCUGGCUCAGGAGUGAAGCUACAGAGCUUUGCGGUCAGUGUUAUAGCUCUUAAGGCGGCACGUCUGGAGUUGUUUGUUUCUCCCGGUGGGCUUUUGGUCUUGCUGGCUUCAGGAGUGAAGCUGUAGACCUUCACAGUGAGUGUUACAGCUCAUAAAAGCACUAUGGACCCAAAGAGUGAGCAGUAGCAAGAUUUAUUGCAGAGCAAAAGAACAAAGCUUUAGCAGUGUGGAAGAGAACCCGACUGGGUUGCCACUGCUGGCUCGGGCAGCCUGCUUUUAUUCUCUUAUCUGGCCCCACCCACAUCCUGCUGAUUGGUAGAGCCGAGUGGUCUGUUUUGACAGGGUGCUGAUUGGUGCGUUUGCAAUCCCUGAGCUAGACACAAAGGUUCUCCAAGUCCCCAUCAGAUUAGUUAGAUACACAGUAUGGACACAAAGGUUCUCCAAGGCCCCACCAGAGCAGCUAGAUACAGAGUGUAGAUUGGUGCAUUCACAAACCUUGAGCUAAACACAGGGUGCUGAUUGGUGUGUUUACAAACCUUGAGCUAGAUACAGAGUGCCGAUUGGUGUAUUUACAAUCCCUGAGCUAGACAUAAAGGUUCUCCAAGGCCCCACCAGAGCAGCUAGAUAGAGUGUGGAUUGGUGCACUCACAAACCCUGAGCUAGGCACAAGGUGCUGAUUGGUGUGUUUACAAUCCCUGAGCUAGACAUAAAGACUCUCCACGUCCCCACCAGACUCAGGAGCCCAGCUGGCUUCACUUAGUGGAUCCCGCACCGGGGCUGCAGGUGGAGCUGCCUACCAGUCCCGCACGGUGCGCUUGCAUUCCUCAGCCCUUGGGUGGUCGAUGGGACUGGGCGCCGUGGAGCAGGGGGUGGUGCUCGUCGAGGAGGCUCGGGCCGCACAGGAGCCCUUGGAGUGGGUGGGAGGCUUAGGCAUGGCGGGCUGCAGGUCCCCAGCCCUGCCCCGCGGGAAGGCAGCUAAGGCUCGGUGAGAAAUCGAGCGCAGCGCUGGUGGGCUGGCACUGCUGGGGGACCCAGUACACCCUCCGCAGCUGCUGGCCCGGGUGCUAAGUCCCUCAUUGCCAGGGGCCAGCAGGGCUGGCCGGCUGCUCCGAGUGCGGGGCCCGCCAAGCCCACGCCCACCCGGAACUCCAGCUGGCCGGCAAGCGCGGCACACAGCCCCGGUUCCCGCUCGCGCCUCUCCCUCCACACCUCCCCGCAAGCUGAAGGAGAGGGCUCCGGCCUUGGCCAGCCCAGAAAGGGGCUCCCACAGUGCAGCGGUGGGCUGAAGGGCUCCUCAAGUGCCGCCAAAGUAGGAGCCCAGGCAGAGGAGGCGGGGAGAGCAAGCGAGGGCUGUGAGGACUGCCAGCACGCUGUCACCUCUCGGUUUUACUUUAUUUUAGGAUAAAAUAUCUAUUGUGAAUUUUAAAAACAUGUAAAAUAAAAUUUUAAUUAAAAAGCCUAAAUGUUCUUUUCCUAUUUAUCCUGAAGGAAAUUCCUGUUGAUGGCGCAUUUAGGAACUUAUUUAUCCCCUGAAGACCUGAGCCCUGCACAUAUCAAAACUGUACAUUCCUUGUGGAGCAGUCUUCUCUUUUGAAAUGUAGACACUAUUUCCCUAAUCUUCAAGCCAGCCAUUGUCACUCCUAGUGACACUUCCAUUGGAUAAGCUCCUUACUCUCACUGAAAUUGGCCUCAGAGUUGCAGCCAA
RNAcentral lists this long non-coding RNA (2802 nucleotides) under Homo sapiens (human). Its description in RNAcentral is "non-protein coding lnc-HLA-B-2:13". The record is from RNAcentral. Lineage: Eukaryota; Metazoa; Chordata; Mammalia; Primates; Hominidae.